This 66-nucleotide transfer RNA is filed under the name Saccostrea mordax (small rock oyster). Its description in RNAcentral is "tRNA-Val". The record is from RNAcentral. Lineage: Eukaryota; Metazoa; Mollusca; Bivalvia; Ostreida; Ostreidae.
CGGGAAAUAGUAUAAAGUCAUUACCAGGUGCUUACAACGCUUAAAUAGGAAGUUUCCUUUUCUCGA